AUACGGAGGAUCCGAGCGUUAUCCGGAUUUAUUGGGUUUAAAGGGUGCGCAGGCGGCCAUUUAAGUCAGCGGUCAAAUCGUGGGGCUCAACCCCAUUCUGCCGUUGAUACUGGGUGGCUUGAUUGCGGUCGAGGUUGGCGGAAUUCGUUGUGUAGCGGUGAAAUGCAUAGAUAUGACGAAGAACACCGAUUGCGUAGGCAGCUGACCAGACCGCAAAUGACGCUCAUGCACGAAAGUGCGGGGAUCGAACAGGAUUAGAUACCCUGGUAGUCCGCACAGUAAACGAUGAAUACUUGUUUUCGGCGAUAUAAUGUCGGAGGCAAAGCGAAAGCGAUAAGUAUUCCACCUGGGGAGUACGCCGGCAACGGUGAAACUCAAAGGAAUUGACGGGG
Molecule: ribosomal RNA, 392 nt
Filed under: uncultured bacterium
Lineage: Bacteria
Description: partial 16S ribosomal RNA
Rfam family: Bacterial small subunit ribosomal RNA
Source: RNAcentral